CCAGCAGCCGCGGUAAUUCCAGCUCCAAUAGCGUAUAUUUAAGUUGCUGCAGUUAAAAAGCUCGUAGUUGGAUUUCGGGUGGGCUUCACCGGUCCGCCUUCGGUGAGUACUGGUGCGGCCCAUCUUGUUGCCGGGGACGGGCUCCUGGGCUUUAUUAUCCGGGACUCGGAGUCGGCGAAGUUACUUUGAGUAAAUUAGAGUGUUCAAAGCAGGCCUACGCUCUGAAUACAAUAGCAUGGGAUAACAUGAUAGGACUCUGGCCUAUCUUGUUGGUCUGUAGGACCGGAGUAAUGAUUAAGAGGGACAGUCGGGGGCAUUCGUAUUUCAUUGUCAGAGGUGAAAUUCUUGGAUUUAUGAAAGACGAACUUCUGCGAAAGCAUUUGCCAAGGAUGUUUUCAUUGAUCAAGAACGAAAGU
RNAcentral lists this ribosomal RNA (416 nucleotides) under Oltmannsiellopsis viridis. Its description in RNAcentral is "SSU rRNA". It matches the Rfam family "Eukaryotic small subunit ribosomal RNA", at positions 567 to 990 of the family's 1831-position model. The record is from RNAcentral. Lineage: Eukaryota; Viridiplantae; Chlorophyta; Ulvophyceae; Oltmannsiellopsidales; Oltmannsiellopsidaceae.